This 434-nucleotide ribosomal RNA is filed under the name uncultured bacterium. RNAcentral describes it as "bacterial SSU rRNA". It matches the Rfam family "Bacterial small subunit ribosomal RNA", at positions 958 to 1392 of the family's 1533-position model. The record is from RNAcentral.
AACGCGAAGAACCUUACCUGGGUUUGACAUGCACUAGACGCGUUCAGAGAUGGGCGUUCCCUUGUGGCUGGUGUGCAGGUGGUGCAUGGCUGUCGUCAGCUCGUGUCGUGAGAUGUUGGGUUAAGUCCCGCAACGAGCGCAACCCUCGUUCCAUGUUGCCAGCGCGUAGUGGCGGGGACUCAUGGGAGACUGCCGGGGUCAACUCGGAGGAAGGUGGGGAUGACGUCAAGUCAUCAUGCCCCUUAUGUCCAGGGCUUCACACAUGCUACAAUGGCCUAUACAGAGGGCUGCGAGACCGUGAGGUGGAGCGAAUCCCUUAAAGUAGGUCUCAGUUCGGAUCGGAGUCUGCAACUUGACCCUCUGAAGUUGGAGUCGCUAGUAAUCGCAGAUCAGCAACGCUGCGGUGAAUACGUUCCCGGGUCUUGUACACACCG